This 384-nucleotide ribosomal RNA is filed under the name Choanoflagellata sp. RNAcentral's name for it is "partial small subunit ribosomal RNA". It matches the Rfam family "Eukaryotic small subunit ribosomal RNA", at positions 582 to 975 of the family's 1831-position model. The record is from RNAcentral. Lineage: Eukaryota; Choanoflagellata.
AUUCCAGCUCCAAUAGCGUAUAUUAAAGUUGUUGCUGUUAAAAAGCUCGUAGUUGGACUUCUGGGCCGUUUUGUUGGUCUGCCGCAAGGCUGCACUAGCGGGAUGGCCCAUCCUCUCGAAGGCUGGGGGUGCUCUUAACUGGGUGCUUUCAGAACUCGGGAUCUUUACUUUGAAAAAAUUAGAGUGUUCAAAGCAGGCUUACGCUUGAAUACAUUAGCAUGGAAUAAUGGAAUAGGACUUUGGUUCUAUUUUGUUGGUUUCUAGAACUGAAGUAAUGAUUAAUAGGGAUAGUUGGGGGCAUUAGUAUUUAAUUGUCAGAGGUGAAAUUCUUGGAUUAUGAAAGACUAACUUCUGCGAAAGCAUUUGCCAAGGAUGUUUUCAUUG